CCUACGGGAGGCAGCAGUCGAGAAUCAUUCACAAUGGGGGAAACCCUGAUGGUGCGACGCCGCGUGGGGGAAUGAAGGUCUUCGGAUUGUAAACCCCUGUCAUGUGGGCGCAAAUUAAAAAGAUAGUACCCCAAGAGGAAGAGACGGCUAACUCUGUGCCAGCAGCCGCGGUAAUACAGAGGUCUCAAGCGUUGUUCGGAAUCACUGGGCGUAAAGCGUGCGUAGGCUGUUUCGUAAGUCGUGUGUGAAAGGCGCGGGCUCAACCCGCGGACGGCACAUGAUACUGCGAGACUAGAGUAAUGGAGGGGGAACCGGAAUGCUCGGUGUAGCAGUGAAAUGCGUAGAUAUCGAGAGGAACACUCGUGGCGAAGGCGGGUUCCUGGACAUUAACUGACGCUGAGGCACGAAGGCCAGGGGAGCGAAAGGGAUUAGAUACCCCUGUAGUC
Molecule: ribosomal RNA, 446 nt
Filed under: uncultured bacterium
Lineage: Bacteria
Description: partial 16S ribosomal RNA
Rfam family: Bacterial small subunit ribosomal RNA
Source: RNAcentral